This 420-nucleotide ribosomal RNA is filed under the name uncultured bacterium. RNAcentral describes it as "bacterial SSU rRNA". It matches the Rfam family "Bacterial small subunit ribosomal RNA", at positions 357 to 774 of the family's 1533-position model. The record is from RNAcentral.
AGGAAUAUUGGACAAUGGUCGCAAGACUGAUCCAGCCAUGCCGCGUGCAGGAAGACGGCCCUAUGGGUUGUAAACUGCUUUUGUACCAGAGAAAACCUAUCUACGUGUAGAUAGCUGAUAGUAUGGUAAGAAUAAGCCCCGGCUAACUUCGUGCCAGCAGCCGCGGUAAUACGAAGGGGGCUAGCGUUGCUCGGAAUCACUGGGCGUAAAGGGCGCGUAGGCGGACAUUUAAGUCAGGGGUGAAAUCCCGGGGCUCAACCUCGGAAUUGCCUUGGAUACUGGGUGUCUCGAGACCGGAAGAGGUAAGUGGAACUGCGAGUGUAGAGGUGAAAUUCGUAGAUAUUCGCAAGAACACCAGUGGCGAAGGCGGCUGACUGGUCCGGUUCUGACGCUGAGGCGCGAAAGCGUGGGGAGCAAACA